Molecule: long non-coding RNA, 237 nt
Filed under: Salvia miltiorrhiza (redroot sage)
Lineage: Eukaryota; Viridiplantae; Streptophyta; Magnoliopsida; Lamiales; Lamiaceae
Description: long non-coding RNA (SMIL_LNC003982)
Source: RNAcentral
UGGUGGAGUGUUCCGAACGUCGGACGGUGGAGGAAGGCAGACGCCGAACGCUGAAGGGAGGCGGACGCCGGACACGCUGAAGGGAGUCCGACGCCGGACGCGCUGAAGGAAGGAGGACGCCGAACGCUGAACUCGCAAACGCCAGACGGUGAAGUUGGCACCGGAAGAUGGCAGCGAAGUUAGCUGAAAAAAGAGUCGGAAAAGAUGGGAAUUAUCGGUGGUGAGAUGGGAUUUGGC